Dreissena polymorpha is the source of this 1402-nucleotide long non-coding RNA. RefSeq lists it as uncharacterized. Lineage: Eukaryota; Metazoa; Mollusca; Bivalvia; Myida; Dreissenidae. The record is from RefSeq and is a predicted model, not a curated record. The transcript is spliced from 4 exons.
UCUGUGCAAAUGCAAGCGUCUAUUGAUAACGAAACGAUAAUUUGUCAACAAUGAGAAUCAGAUACUUGGCUUAAUAAUUUUCAUUUAAAAUGUCUAAUUUGGAUAUAAUUCGGAAUACAAAACGAAACUUAAAAGGUAUUGAAAACAACAACGUUCAAAAGAACAAUGUGGAUUUCAAUAGAAAGACUAUUUCCACCGAAAAUCAGGAUUUCCGGUAUGACCACUGUUAUUUUGACGAUUUUUCUAUCGGUUCGUUGGUAAGCGUGACCACAUGUGACAACAGCGAUGCUAGUUGGAUAUAAAAUUGGUAGACGUGUCGUUGAACUCGACACAUUGACCGAAUCGCUUUUAGCAUGCAGUGCUUGUCAAGUGCCCAUGAAUUUACUUAACACUGUAGAAAGCAUGGAUUUCGGACAGGCAUGUGUUUUGGACAUACAGUUUAGCAAUUGUGGUGCAGUAAAUAAUGCGGCUACUGGACGGAAACAUGGCAGAGUUUAUGACAUGAUCACAAAGCUUGCAUUUGGGUAAAUCAAAAACUGGGUGUUUCACCUGGGACUUUCACAUCGAAACUGGCCCUUCUCCAUGACCUUCAGCACAAAAAAAGAAAGGCUAUAGCUGUUACUCGUGCAGCAAAACAGUGACGCAUAAGACUUAAAACUCGAACGGCAUUCAAAGGACAGUGCAAGAAGUACGAGCGGGACCAACAUACAGUUCAAACAUAGAGGACCAAGACGUUGAAGUUACAACUAUACCCCCACCUAUACCCAAGCCUGGUCCAGCAGGGCUAGACACUACUGGGAAGGAAUUUGUUUUCUUUGAUUUGGAAACAAGAGGGUUAGAGCACACUUCUCACAUAAUUCAGAUAGCUGCAGUGCAUUCAACUGGUCAAUUUUCAACAUAUGUGAUUCAUGAGAAGAAGAUUUCCUUGCAAGCGUCAGAAAUAACUGGAGUGACAGUUGUUAGCGACUCUAUGCUUGUCAAGAGACAAACAGUAACAGCUGUCCCCAUCAAAUCUGCAUUGACAAGUUUUAUAACAUUCUUACAGAAAUGUUCACCAAUUAUUUCAGUUGGGCAUAAUAUAGAGUCUUUUGAUUGUAAAGUGUUGCUCCGUGCUAUCCAUACUUGUUGAAAAAUGUUUGAGUUUCAGCAAAAUAUUUGUUGCUUUUUAGAUACUUAAAAAUGUUAAAGGAAAUAUUACCAAAUAUGAAAUCAUAUAAGCGGGAACAUUUAGUUAAAGACGUCAUUGGUGAAUUAUACAUGGCACAUGGCGCUAUACAGGAUAUUUUAGCUUUACAAAAGUUAGUGAACUCUGUUCCUGUUGACCAAAAAUUGUUAACAAAUAUUCAUUCAGCUUUUACCGAGCAGUGUUAACAUACAAUGUGUAACUAAAUGUUGCUUCCAA